This 253-nucleotide ribosomal RNA is filed under the name uncultured bacterium. Its description in RNAcentral is "partial 16S ribosomal RNA". It matches the Rfam family "Bacterial small subunit ribosomal RNA", at positions 524 to 776 of the family's 1533-position model. The record is from RNAcentral.
UACGUAGGGUGCGAGCGUUGUCCGGAAUUAUUGGGCGUAAAGAGCUCGUAGGCGGUUUGUCACGUCUGCUGUGAAAUCCCGAGGCUCAACCUUGGGCCUGCAGUGGGUACGGGCAGACUGGAGUGCGGUAGGGGAGAAUGGAAUUCCUGGUGUAGCGGUGGAAUGCGCAGAUAUCAGGAGGAACACCGAUGGCGAAGGCAGUUCUCUGGGCCGUAACUGACGCUGAGGAGCGAAAGCGUGGGGAGCGAACAGG